UCGGGAAUUUUGGGCAAUGGGUGAAAGCCUGACCCAGCAACGCCGCGUGAAGGAUGAAGUAUUUCGGUAUGUAAACUUCGAAAGAAUAGGAAGAAUAAAUGACGGUACUAUUUAUAAGGUCCGGCUAACUACGUGCCAGCAGCCGCGGUAAUACGUAGGGACCAAGCGUUGUUCGGAUUUACUGGGCGUAAAGCGUACGUAGGCGGUUAUUCAAGUCAGAGGUGAAAGCCUGGAGCUCAACUCCAGAACUGCCUUUGAAACUAGAUAGCUAGAAUCACGGAGAGGUGAGUGGAAUUCCGAGUGUAGAGGUGAAAUUCGUAGAUAUUCGGAAGAACACCAGUGGCGAAGGCGGCUCACUGGACGUGUAUUGACGCUGAGGUACGAAAGCGUGGGGAGCAAACAGGAUUAGAUACCCCAGUAGUCCCUGAGCGGGCUGGCAAGGCGCAU
RNAcentral lists this ribosomal RNA (447 nucleotides) under uncultured bacterium. Its description in RNAcentral is "bacterial SSU rRNA". It matches the Rfam family "Bacterial small subunit ribosomal RNA", at positions 355 to 825 of the family's 1533-position model. The record is from RNAcentral.